AGCCCCGGCAGAAGUCAUUUGCUCUUAAAAGUUUGCAACUUUGCGUGCUGUACACCACAGGGCC
RNAcentral lists this transfer RNA (64 nucleotides) under Pseudotriton montanus (mud salamander). RNAcentral describes it as "tRNA-Cys". The record is from RNAcentral. Lineage: Eukaryota; Metazoa; Chordata; Amphibia; Caudata; Plethodontidae.